GUUGAAUACAAUCAUACCUUUGGCUUGGCAAAGGUUGGUUCCCGAAUAAUGCGAUUGCAAAUACAGGGAUCCGUGAAUAGUAAGGGAAUAUUGUUCACUAUUUAUAGGCACGGGACACAGCCUGUGAGAAAUUACAAUUAUGCCCCUCAUAAAGGAUUACAACAGCGACCUAAGCAUUUAUGGACUAGAGGGUCAUUCUACUUUUAAGUCGGUUUGUAAUUCCGAAGCUUCCUGAAGAGGAACCUUUGGUCAUCUCAUACGAACAGCUUCAGCCGAAAACUGCUUCUUCCUACAAGACCUUCGGCGACGAAGCAUAGUCCCAACACUUAACAUGCAACAAAAAGAAAAAUCAAAUGAAUUAAUAGGAGCUAUUCAUGACAAGGAUGAACUUUUGGAUAGCCAAAAG
This 406-nucleotide long non-coding RNA is filed under the name Zea mays. Its description in RNAcentral is "drought responsive lncRNA". The record is from RNAcentral. Lineage: Eukaryota; Viridiplantae; Streptophyta; Magnoliopsida; Poales; Poaceae.